GGUCAAGCUACGAAGGGCUCAUGGUGGAUACCUAGGCACACAGAGGCGAUGAAGGACGCGGUUACCGGCGAUAUGCCACGGGGAGCAGGAAGCAUGCAUUGAUCCGUGGGUUUCCGAAUGGGGCAACCCUAGAUACGGCCCAUUGAAUACAUAGAUGGGUACGAGCUAACGCAGCGAAUUGAAACAUCUUAGUAGCUGCAGGAAGAGAAAGAAAACUCGAUUCCCUUAGUAGCGGCGAGCGAAGCGGGAAGAGCCUAAACCAGUCUUUUUUAGGGCUGGGGUAGUGGGACAGCGAGAUGGAAUCUGGACGAUAGACGAAUCACUUGAGAGGUGAACCAAAGAAGGUGAGAGUCCUGUAGUCGACAUUGAAGAGAUACUAGCUGACUCCCGAGUAGGUCGGGGCACGUGGAAUCCCGAUUGAAUCAGCGAGGACCACCUCGUAAGGCUAAAUACUCCUGUGUGACCGAUAGCGAAUAGUACCGCGAGGGAACGGUGAAAAGAACCCCGGGAGGGGAGUGAAAUAGAACAUGAAACCAUGAGCUUACAAGCAGUUAGAGCACGAUUAAACGUGUGAUAGCGUGCCUGUUGAAGAAUGAGCCGGCGACUUAUAGGCACUGGCAGGUUAAGUCGGGAAUGACGGAGCCAAAGGGAAACCGAGUCUGAUAAGGGCGUUAGUCAGUGUUUAUAGACCCGAACCCGGGUGAUCUAACCAUGUCCAGGUUGAAGCUUAGGUAACACUAAGUGGAGGACCGAACCGACUUCUGUUGAAAAAGGAGCGGAUGAGGUGUGGUUAGGGGUGAAAUGCCAAUCGAACCCGGAGCUAGCUGGAUCUCCUCGAAAUGUGUUUAGGCGCAGCGGUCAUGAUUAUAGGUGGGGGGUAAAGCACUGUUUCGGUGCGGGCUGCGAGAGCGGUACCAAAUCGAGACAAACUCAGAAUACCCAUUGAAUACAUGGCCAGUGAGACGGUGGGGGAUAAGCUUCAUCGUCGAGAGGGAAACAGCCCAGACCACCAGCUAAGGUCCCCAAAUCAUCUCUAAGUGAUAAAGGAGGUGAGAAUGCUGAGACAACCAGGAGGUUUGCCUAGAAGCAGCCAUCCUUGAAAGAGUGCGUAAUAGCUCACUGGUCAAGCGUUCUUGCGCCGAAAAUGAACGGGGCUAAGAGAUGUACCGAAGCUGUGGACUUAAUUAAUUAAGUGGUAGAGGAGCGUUCUGUAGUAGUUAGAAGCAUUAGCGAGAGCAGGUGUGGACGAAGCAGAAGUGAGAAUGUCGGCUUGAGUAGCGAAAAUAGAUGUGAGAAUCAUCUACCCCGAAAACCUAAGGAUUCCUCCGGAAGGCUCGUCCGCGGAGGGUUAGUCGGGACCUAAGGCGAGGCCGAAAGGCGUAGUCGAUGGAUAUCAGGUUAAUAUUCCUGAACUCUGAUUGUGGAGCAUUGCAGGGACGCAUGACAACUAGCUACACCCUAAUUGGAUUGGGAGACUGCCACGGCGGUUGCGUAGUGAACGAUAGUGCCUAGAAAAGCUGUGGAUGUAUUGAAGCGAUUGGACCCGUACUGUAAACCGACACAGGUGGGUGGGUUGAGUAUACUAAGGGGCGCGAGAUAACUCUCUCUAAGGAACUCGGCAAAAUGGCCCCGUAACUUCGGGAGAAGGGGUGCCCUCUUAACGGGGGGCCGCAGUGAAGAGAUCCAGGCGACUGUUUACCAAAAACACAGGUUUCUGCCAACUCGAAAGAGGAAGUAUAGGAGCUGACGCCUGCCCAGUGCCGGAAGGUUAAGGAAGCUGGUCAGUCUUCGGAUGAAGCUAGCGACCGAAGCCCCGGUGAACGGCGGCCGUAACUAUAACGGUCCUAAGGUAGCGAAAUUCCUUGUCGGGUAAGUUCCGACCCGCACGAAAGGCGUAACGAUCUGGAUGCUGUCUCGGAGAGAGACUCGGCGAAAUAGGAUUGUCUGUGAAGAUACGGACUACCUGCACCUGGACAGAAAGACCCUAUGAAGCUUUACUGUAGCUUGGUAUUGGGUUCGGGCUUUGAUUGCGCAGGAUAGGUGGGAGACUUAGAAGUAGACCUUGUGGGGUUUACUGAGUCACUGGUGAGAUACCACUCUAUCAAGGCUAGGAUUCUAACAUUGAGCCGUUAACCGGCCAGUGGACAGUAUCAGGUGGGCAGUUUGACUGGGGCGGUCGCCUCCUAAAAGGUAACGGAGGCGCGCAAAGGUUCUCUCCGGCUGGUUGGAAAUCAGCCUACGAGUGUAAAGGCAUAAGAGAGCUUGACUGCGAGAGUGACAACUCAAGCAGGGUGGAAACACGGCCUUAGUGAUCCGACGGUACCGAGUGGAAGGGCCGUCGCUCAACGGAUAAAAGUUACUCUAGGGAUAACAGGCUGAUCUCCCCCAAGAGUUCACAUCGACGGGGAGGUUUGGCACCUCGAUGUCGGCUCGUCGCAACCUGGGGCGGUAGUACGUCCCAAGGGUUGGGCUGUUCGCCCAUUAAAGCGGCACGCGAGCUGGGUUCAGAACGUCGUGAGACAGUUCGGUCCAUAUCCGGUGCAGGCGUAAGAGCAUUGAGAGGAGUCUUCCUUAGUACGAGAGGACCGGGAAGAACGCACCUCUGGUGUACCUGUUAUCGUGCCAACGGUAAACGCAGGGUAGCCAAGUGCGGAGCGGAUAACCGCUGAAAGCAUCUAAGUGGGAAGCCCACCUCAAGAUGAGUGCUCUCAUGGAGUUAAUCCAGUAAGGUCACGGGAAGACGACCCGUUGAUAGGUUCUAAGUGGAAGUGUGGCAACAUACGAAGCUGAGGGAUACUAACAGACCGAGGGCUUGUCCUA
This 2820-nucleotide ribosomal RNA is filed under the name Leptothoe spongobia TAU-MAC 1115. RNAcentral describes it as "Bacterial large subunit ribosomal RNA". It matches the Rfam family "Bacterial large subunit ribosomal RNA". Lineage: Bacteria; Bacillati; Cyanobacteriota; Cyanophyceae; Nodosilineales; Cymatolegaceae. The record is from Rfam by way of RNAcentral.